ACCCGCUGAACUUAAGCAUAUCAAUAAGCGGAGGAAAAGAAACUAACAAGGAUUCCCCUAGUAACGGCGAGUGAACCGGGAAGAGCUCAAAUUUGAAAUCUGGCAGUCUUCGAUUGUCCGAGUUGUAAUCUAUAGAAGCGUUUUCCGUGCUGAACUGUGUAUAAGUCCCUUGGAACAGGGUAUCAAAGAGGGUGACAAUCCCGUACUUUACACAAUCAUCAGUGCUCUGUGAUACGUUCUCUACGAGUCGAGUUGGUUGGGAAAGCAACCCAAAAAGGGGGGGAAAAUCCAACCAAAACCAAAAAAUGGCCAAAAAACCAAAACCAAAAAAGAACCGGAAGGAAAAAAGAAAAGCACUUUGGAAAGAGAGUUAAACAGUACGUGAAAUUGUUGAAAGGGAAACGAAAUUCAUGAAUCAUGUUUAUUGGACUCAGCCGUUCUUCGGUGUACUUCCUUUAAACGGGUCAACAUCAGUUUUGUCCGAUGGAUAAAGGUAGUAGGAAGGUGGCUCUCUCGGGAGUGUUAUAGCCUAUUGCUGCAUACAUUGGAUGAGACUGAGGACUGCAGCUUGCCUUUAUGGCCGGGGUUCGCCCACGUC
Molecule: ribosomal RNA, 598 nt
Filed under: Trichosporon sp. BG090908.4.1.1.2.21
Lineage: Eukaryota; Fungi; Basidiomycota; Tremellomycetes; Trichosporonales; Trichosporonaceae
Description: partial 26S ribosomal RNA
Rfam family: Eukaryotic large subunit ribosomal RNA
Source: RNAcentral